AGCAUACAAGGCAUACGGCUCAGUAACGCGUAGUCAACCUAACCUAUGGACGGGAAUAACCUCGGGAAACUGAGAAUAAUGCCCGAUAGAACAUUAUGCCUGGAAUGGUUUAUGUUCCAAAUGAUUUAUCGCCGUAGGAUGGGACUGCGGCCUAUCAGUUUGUUGGUGAGGUAAUGGCCCACCAAGACUAUUACAGGUACGGGCUCUGAGAGGAGUAGCCCGGAGAUAGGUACUGAGACACGGACCCAGGCCCUAUGGGGCGCAGCAGGCGAGAAAACUUUGCAAUGUGCGAAAGCACGACAAGGUUAAUCCGAGUGGUUUCUGCUAAAGAAACCUUUUGUCAGUCCUAGAAACACUGAUGAAUAAGGGGUGGGCAAGUUCUGGUGUCAGCCGCCGCGGUAAAACCAGCACCUCAAGUGGUCAGGAUGAUUAUUGGGCCUAAAGCAUCCGUAGCCGGCUCUGUAAGUUUUCGGUUAAAUCUGUACGCUCAACGUACAGGCUGCCGGGAAUACUGCAGAGCUAGGGAGUGGGAGAGGUAGACGGUACUCGGUAGGAAGGGGUAAAAUCCUUUGAUCUAUUGAUGACCACCUGUGGCGAAGGCGGUCUACCAGAACACGUCCGACGGUGAGGGAUGAAAGCUGGGGGAGCAAACCGGAUUAGAUACCCGGGUAGUCCCAGCUGUAAACUAUGCAAACUCAGUGAUGCAUUGGCUUGUGGCCAAUGCAGUGCUGCAGGGAAGCCGUUAAGUUUGCCGCCUGGGAAGUACGUACGCAAGUAUGAAACUUAAAGGAAUUGGCGGGGGAGCACCACAAGGGGUGAAGCCUGCGGUUCAAUUGGAGUCAACGCCGGA
RNAcentral lists this ribosomal RNA (850 nucleotides) under uncultured crenarchaeote. RNAcentral's name for it is "bacterial SSU rRNA". It matches the Rfam family "Archaeal small subunit ribosomal RNA", at positions 71 to 922 of the family's 1478-position model. The record is from RNAcentral. Lineage: Archaea; Thermoproteati; Thermoproteota.